Molecule: long non-coding RNA, 505 nt
Filed under: Capra hircus (goat)
Lineage: Eukaryota; Metazoa; Chordata; Mammalia; Artiodactyla; Bovidae
Description: lncRNA (ENSCHIG00010008961.1)
Source: RNAcentral
AAAGUGCACUCAAUAGCUACCACUGCACUCAAUAGCUACCACUCACCCAUAGGCUUUACUAAAAUGAAAAAUACUCUUAAGUUUCCUGUCUCUGUUGUCACAUUAUUACCACCACUUAUAGCUUAUAAACCCAGUAUAGACUUAUAAGCAUAUUACUGUAACUCUUGUUCAAUACGAGGAUUUCAUCUCAUUUUGAGAUGUGCCUGACAUAUCAAACCACAGAGGAUCAUCUCUUAUCAUGUGCAGUGAUGCAAAGCCAACUGUUUGCACCAAGGUGUCAGCAUGACCAGCAUAGAAUCUCCCAGUAUAUUCUGAGUGGCUGGAGGAUAUCAGUACCAGGCAAGGCUCUGUGAGAAGGAUUUUUUUUUUAAUUGAAGUAUAAUUGCUUUAACAGUGUUAUAUUAGUUUCAGGUAUAUAGCAUAGUAAUUUGGGGGUAUUUUUUUUAACAGAUUACAUGUUGUUAUAGGUUAUUAUAAUAUAUUAAGUAUGAUUCCCUGUACUAUA